UGAGGAAUAUUGGUCAAUGGACGAGAGUCUGAACCAGCCAAGUAGCGUGAAGGAUGAAGGUCCUACGGAUUGUAAACUUCUUUUAUAAGGGAAUAAACCCUCCCACGUGUGGGAGCUUGUAUGUACCUUAUGAAUAAGCAUCGGCUAACUCCGUGCCAGCAGCCGCGGUAAUACGGAGGAUGCGAGCGUUAUCCGGAUUUAUUGGGUUUAAAGGGAGCGCAGACGGGUCGUUAAGUCAGCUGUGAAAGUUUGGGGCUCAACCUUAAAAUUGCAGUUGAUACUGGCGUCCUUGAGUGCGGUUGAGGUGUGCGGAAUUCGUGGUGUAGCGGUGAAAUGCUUAGAUAUCACGAAGAACUCCGAUUGCGAAGGCAGCACACUAAGCCGUAACUGACGUUCAUGCUCGAAAGUGUGGGUAUCAAACAGGAUUAGAUACCCUGGUAGUCCACACGGUAAACGAUGAAUACUCGCUGUUUGCGAUAUACGGCAAGCGGCCAAGCGAAAGCGUUAAGUAUUCCACCUGGGGAGUACGCCGGCAACGGUGAAACUCAAAGGAAUUGACGGGGGCCCGCACAAGCGGAGGAACAUGUGGUUUAAUUCGAUGAUACGCGAGGAACCUUACCCGGGCUUAAAUUGCACUCGAAUGAUCCGGAAACGGUUCAGCUAGCAAUAGCGAGUGUGAAGGUGCUGCAUGGUUGUCGUCAGCUCGUGCCGUGAGGUGUCGGCUUAAGUGCCAUAACGAGCGCAACCCUUGUUGUCAGUUACUAACAGGUGAUGCUGAGGACUCUGACCAGACUGCCAUCGUAAGAUGUGAGGAAGGUGGGGAUGACGUCAAAUCAGCACGGCCCUUACGUCCGGGGCUACACACGUGUUACAAUGGGGGGUACAGAGGGCCGCUACCACGCGAGUGGAUGCCAAUCCCUAAAACCCCUCUCAGUUCGGACUGGAGUCUGCAACCCGACUCCACGAAGCUGGAUUCGCUAGUAAUCGCGCAUCAGCCACGGCGCGGUGAAUACGUUCCC
This 1019-nucleotide ribosomal RNA is filed under the name uncultured bacterium. RNAcentral describes it as "bacterial SSU rRNA". It matches the Rfam family "Bacterial small subunit ribosomal RNA", at positions 355 to 1375 of the family's 1533-position model. The record is from RNAcentral.